UUUGACAAUUAAGAGAUAAAUUAUGGUAUAAAAAUAUGGGAAGGAUAGUAUCUUGUCGGCUAACUGAACUAUUCUGCAUUUAAUGUGUACCGUUUGAUUUUAUGUGUGCUUGAUCGAUCUAACGGCUGAUAUUGAAUAUUCUAGUACAUUCGAUGGUGUAGAGAAAGCUUAAAGGGUCGGAGCUUCAAAAUUUAUCGCCGACCAAGUGGGGAGAAGAAGCACGUGAGAGUUAAUAAAGGUAACUGUUCUCAAAAAAUCUCCUCAUCUGAUAUAUAUAUUCUCUAAUCUUCCAAGGGCUAAGUUUAGUUCAUUGAUAUGUAAAUGAGUAUAGUUUCGUGUGCUAUGUUGUUUUUUUUACAUCAUAUAUUUACGGUGUUUAUAAGAAUUAUAUUUUGUUGAUUAUAAUUUUAGGAUUUUGUGCUAUAUUAAUUUUCUACAAACUUAGAAAAUUAAGGGCUUCGAUUUUGUUGUAUAGGAACUAUUAAUUUGUUGAUAGUUUAUUGUUAGAGAAUUAAUUUUGGAAGAGAGUUUUUGCCAUAAAAUAGACGUAGUUGUGGAAGAGGGAGAGAGGGUUUGUACAUUUUCAUUGUGCAAGAUGUUGGUCUGAAUUUUGUUAAUUUGUAGUAAUAAUUAGGGAUAAGUUGAUAUAUACCUCUUUUUUGUAUCCAUUAAUCAAAAAUACACUCAUAUUAUUUUUCUAUUAAAAUAUACUCACUUUUUUAA
Long non-coding RNA from Cannabis sativa, 723 nucleotides. RefSeq lists it as uncharacterized. NCBI's taxonomy places the organism in Eukaryota, Viridiplantae, Streptophyta, Magnoliopsida, Rosales, Cannabaceae. The transcript has 2 exons. The record is from RefSeq and is a predicted model, not a curated record.